Molecule: transfer RNA, 76 nt
Filed under: Oscillospiraceae bacterium
Lineage: Bacteria; Bacillati; Bacillota; Clostridia; Eubacteriales; Oscillospiraceae
Description: tRNA-Met
Rfam family: tRNA
About the family: Transfer RNA (tRNA) molecules are approximately 80 nucleotides in length. Their secondary structure includes four short double-helical elements and three loops (D, anti-codon, and T loops). Further hydrogen bonds mediate the characteristic L-shaped molecular structure. tRNAs have two regions of fundamental functional importance: the anti-codon, which is responsible for specific mRNA codon recognition, and the 3' end, to which the tRNAs corresponding amino acid is attached (by aminoacyl-tRNA synthetases). tRNAs cope with the degeneracy of the genetic code in two manners: having more than one tRNA (with a specific anti-codon) for a particular amino acid; and 'wobble' base-pairing, i.e. permitting non-standard base-pairing at the 3rd anti-codon position.
Source: RNAcentral
CGCGAGGUAGAGAAGUGGCCAUCUCGGUGGCUUCAUAGGCCGCAGACCACAGGUUCAAAUCCUGUCCUCGCACCCA